This is a non-coding RNA of Camelina sativa (false flax), 1246 nucleotides long. Lineage: Eukaryota; Viridiplantae; Streptophyta; Magnoliopsida; Brassicales; Brassicaceae. The record is from RefSeq and is a predicted model, not a curated record.
UGACGAUUUUGCAAUCUCUCUACCGUCUUCGUCGUUGUGCGUCAUUGUCUCCAGUGGGCUCUCUGACGGCUCCAGUCUCGCUUUUGAAAUAUGUGAUGGCUCCAUCAUCUCCGGUGAGUUAUAAUCUGUCGAGUUAGAGAGCGAGAUCGAGAUCGACAACAAUGGUCGUUCCAAGACCAUCAAUGUAUCUGGAUCCGACGAUGCUCCUUACAAAAUCAACAACGGUGGUGGUUCAAUUGGCAAUCACACGCAGGAACUUUGUCUGCGACACCAAACAAACUCUCAAUCCGAUCCAAUCCGAUUACCACAUGUCUCAAUUUUGAACCAAUUAGUUAGUCUCCCAGCUGCUUACAAGGAGCGAUUCGUUCAUUUGGGUGAGAAGAAGACCAAGUACUCGAUCAUCAUCGGCGGUGAAAAAUUUGGAUGCGGACUGUUCUCGUGAACUUUGGUUUGUUUUGGUGCGGUGGGGAUUUAAAGUAGUGGUGGCUCAGUCUUAUGCUAUAGUCUUUUUCAGAAACUUUGUGGCUACGGUGAGAUUUAUCCACUGGAUUCAGAAGUUAGAGUUUGUGAUGAGUCUAAAAGAAGGGAUGUUGCGACGCGAUUGAGUUGACGGAAGGGGAUAAUUUUCUUAUCAAUCACACGACAUGGAAAGAGUACAAACUGAAACCUAUUGGUGACGUUGGACCUGUCAUUGAUGUUGGAGGUAUAUUUGCUUAUGCUAGGAAAGCUGGAAUGAUUCCAUCUGCUGUUGCCUUGACUUUGCCUUUAGGCAACUAAAACAAGUGAAUGGAGGAGAUUGGGCUUUGUGUUUUCCAUAGACAUACGAUGAGAAGCUCUACCUACUUUAUAUACAGCACGUUCAUGCAAGACAUUGACUUACACGUUACUCAUGCUUUCUCUUUUUUAUCCUCAACGAUCUUCAGUGCAAGCUGUAAUUGUUAGAAUGAGCAAGAGCCAAAGUUUGAAACAAAACAAGAACAAUACAAGAGGCAUUCCCCAAUGCCAAGAGAUGAAAAGAAGAAAACAUCAAUUGUAGGAUCCAAGAGAGCUAUGAACCAAGAGCUUGGAAGUCUAAUGGCACAUGUGAGAUCAAGGUACAAUGACAGGCCAUCCUCGAGAGCUUCAAAGGACAGUUGAGUGGUCACGGUCAUCUGACUCUGUGACGUUGAAAAAGGAGUGAUAUGCUCAAAUUUAUCCUAGAGCUACUCUCUCAAAUUAAGAGAUCACUGCAGUACUUAGGGGUCGA